UACAGAGGGUGCGAGCGUUGUCCGGAAUCACUGGGCGUAAAGGGCGCGUAGGUGGUGGCUUAAGCGUGCGGUGAAAGCUCGGAGCUCAACUCCGAGUCGGCCGUGCGAACUGGGCUCACUGGAGCAUAGUAGAGGCAGGUGGAAUUCCGGGUGUAGCGGUGGAAUGCGUAGAGAUCCGGAAGAACACCGGUGGCGAAGGCGGCCUGCUGGGCUAUGGCUGACACUGAGGCGCGAAAGCUAGGGGAGCAAACAGG
Molecule: ribosomal RNA, 254 nt
Filed under: uncultured bacterium
Lineage: Bacteria
Description: partial 16S ribosomal RNA
Rfam family: Bacterial small subunit ribosomal RNA
Source: RNAcentral